AGCAAAUGUAAUGUGUGGAUCGCAAUGCAUUGCAUUUAGUCGAUACUCGGCCCAUAUCAUAUACACGUAAAACAGCUAAAAAUGAUACAAAAUCAGAUUUAUUUCAUAACAUACGGCAAAGCCUAUAUACAAUAUACAACACACUAAAAAGCCAAAAGCUUCAAUUAAAUUCGGAAAGCAUCACAACCAACAAACUAAAUCAUCAAACUCAAAGAAAGAAAUUAUUAAACAUAAAUUUAACCAACAAAGUUUAUAAGAGAGAUAGUUCAAUAUUGCAAAGAUAAAGUCUUAAAUUGGAAAGAAACAAAGCAUAGACUCUUAGUCACCAUAAAUCCAUCACUUACAUACAUCCUAGCCACAUUUGGCUCGCUUUGAAUCUUCUGCCUCAACAUUAUCAGCAGUCCUUUUCACCCUCUCACCACCAGAUUCUUCAAAGCGUGUGGAAGGACCAUCCUCAGCA
RNAcentral lists this long non-coding RNA (460 nucleotides) under Brassica napus (rape). RNAcentral describes it as "long non-coding RNA (BNAP_LNC001738)". Lineage: Eukaryota; Viridiplantae; Streptophyta; Magnoliopsida; Brassicales; Brassicaceae. The record is from RNAcentral.